Molecule: ribosomal RNA, 507 nt
Filed under: uncultured bacterium
Lineage: Bacteria
Description: partial 16S ribosomal RNA
Rfam family: Bacterial small subunit ribosomal RNA
Source: RNAcentral
AUUGAACGCUGGCGGCAGGCCUAACACAUGCAAGUCGGACGGUAGCACAGGGGAGCUUGCUCCCCGGGUGACGAGUGGCGGACGGGUGAGUAAUGUCUGGGAAACUGCCUGAUGGAGGGGGAUAACUACUGGAAACGGUAGCUAAUACCGCAUAAUGUCGCAAGACCAAAGAGGGGGACCUUCGGGCCUCUUGCCAUCAGAUGUGCCCAGAUGGGAUGUAGCUAGUAGGUGGGGUAACGGCUCACCUAGGCGACGAUCCCUAGCUGGUCUGAGAGGAUGACCAGCCACACUGGAACUGAGACACGGUCCAGACUCCGACGGGAGGCAGCAGUGGGGAAUCUUGCACAAUGGGCGCAAGCCUGCUGCAGCCAUGCCGCGUGUAUGAAGAAGGCCAUCGGGUUGUAAAGUACUUUCAGCGGGGAGGAAGGUGUUGUGGUUAAUAACCACAGCAAUUGACGUUACCCGCAGAAGAAGCACCGGCUAACUCCGUGCCAGCCGCCGCAGUAA